UAGGGAAUCUUCCGCAAUGGGCGAAAGCCUGACGGAGCAACGCCGCGUGAGUGAUGAAGGUCUUCGGAUCGUAAAACUCUGUUAUUAGGGAAGAACAAAUGUGUAAGUAACUAUGCACGUCUUGACGGUACCUAAUCAGAAAGCCACGGCUAACUACGUGCCAGCAGCCGCGGUAAUACGUAGGUGGCAAGCGUUAUCCGGAAUUAUUGGGCGUAAAGCGCGCGUAGGCGGUUUUUUAAGUCUGAUGUGAAAGCCCACGGCUCAACCGUGGAGGGUGAUUGGAAACUGGAAAACUUGAGUGCAGAAGAGGAAAGUGGAAUUCCAUGUGUAGCGGUGAAAUGCGCAGAGAUAUGGAGGAACACCAGUGGCGAAGGCGACUUUCUGGUCUGUAACUGACGCUGAUGUGCGAAAGCGUGGGGAUCAAACAGG
RNAcentral lists this ribosomal RNA (429 nucleotides) under Actinomycetes bacterium. RNAcentral describes it as "Actinobacteria bacterium partial 16S ribosomal RNA". It matches the Rfam family "Bacterial small subunit ribosomal RNA", at positions 355 to 776 of the family's 1533-position model. The record is from RNAcentral. Lineage: Bacteria; Bacillati; Actinomycetota; Actinomycetes.